RNAcentral lists this ribosomal RNA (204 nucleotides) under uncultured bacterium. Its description in RNAcentral is "partial 16S ribosomal RNA". It matches the Rfam family "Bacterial small subunit ribosomal RNA", at positions 568 to 773 of the family's 1533-position model. The record is from RNAcentral.
UGCGCAGGCGGCCAAGUGUGUGAGGCGUGAAAGCCCGAUGCUCAACAUCGGAAUUGCACCUCAAACUACAUGGCUAGAGCAUUGGAGAGGGUAGCGGAAUUCACGGUGUAGCAGUGAAAUGCGUAGAUAUCGUGAGGAACACCAGAGGCGAAGGCGGCUACCUGGACAAUUGUGACGCUCAGCACGAAAGCGUGGGGAGCAAAG